Pantherophis guttatus is the source of this 2596-nucleotide non-coding RNA. The record is from RefSeq and is a predicted model, not a curated record. Lineage: Eukaryota; Metazoa; Chordata; Lepidosauria; Squamata; Colubridae.
UCAUUUAGAUUCGUUUAUUUAUUUUUUUAAUCAGCAAAAAUAAAUGCAGAAGUGGAAGAAAAUACAGCUUUGGAGACCGGGAGUGGGGGAGGCUUUCGAUAUUUGAUAUGCGUCGAGUGUGCCCCCAGAUAAUGAAUCUCGUUUGAAAAUCGCACACCCAAAAAAUAAAAAUGUUUUCGGGUCUUUGGGAGGGCCGUAACAUGGAAAAGCCCCGCUCCGCAGUUCCCAAGGGUCUCUAUCGUGAGCUUUCACCCCCUGUAUAUACAGCGACAGGGAUCCGGAGAGGAGCGAAGCAGAGAAAAGUCAAUUUGUCAAAAGAUCAACCGACGCUCUCCGAUCUGAAGCUUUCGUUUUUGCGCUUUUAAAAAGCCGAAACCGGCGGCUCUCGGACUUUCGCGGGACUUCGCUCUUCCUUAUCCAGUGCUGGGUGAACGAAUCUUUAUCCUUGCAAUCGUUUCAGUUCGAGUGGCCCACGAUGGUUGUUUUCGACGGGAAGAUUUUUUUUUUCUUAAAGAGGCCCCUUAAAGCAGCCAGUUUCGAUCUCUCUCUGGACAAACACACACAAGAGGGAUGGGAAAGAAGAGGCUCCUUUCUCUCUCCGGGCUGCCAGAAAUAGACACCGCCGCCCGCUUCCCUCCCCUUUGCUGGAAUCUCUCUUGGGAAGUUGAAGCAGCUCUUUGUCAAACUCCAAAUCUGAUGCAGAAGGACCUGGAACGUCGUGAGCAGAAGAGCAACUAUUGACAAAAAAAGAGAAGAAGAAGAAGAGUCAGAAAAACUACACAACACUCAUGCAGCCUCUCUGUUAUGAUGCUAGGAUAAAAAAAGGAACUGAGAGCUAUCUUUUCCCUGACAGAAGACGAACUUGCUGUAUUUCCUGACCGAUAGCUUUGCUCUAUUCCAUUCCAAAUAUGAAAAGACCCGUCUUUUCUUUCCUGAGUGUUGGGCUAAGCUGGGAGCGAGCCCAGCAAAUGUCGAGUUGAUCUGGUGAUGACAUGGUGGGAAGUACAUUUUCUUCUGUACGGAUAGUCCUCAGUUAACAAUGAUUAUUGAGAAUGGAAUUUCCGUCCCUAAGCAAAUGUGGUUAUAAAGCAUGGUGUUAUGUGAGUGCAUCGCUUAGCAACAGCAAUCCCAGAAGUCCCUAUUGCUGGAGUUAAUUGAAUCCCACAGAUUAUUAGGCGAGGACCCAUCUCAAUCUAGGCCAUUCCUGGCUUGGUCUCCCCCAGUCCCAAGUUCCAGUAAGGUAAGGGACUGCCUCUUUUGCUCACUGUUGAACUCCACCCCCUCCCCACCUGUCCCCCACCAUCUCUGCCCUUUAGGCCACGCCCCUAACUGCUACUGCCAGCUGCCUCACUGCCCAACUCUGUCACUCCACCUACUGUACUGCCCGCUACUACCGUACUUGCUGGAACCUUCUUUCACGCCAUUGCCUUUUGCACCAGGGCAGUUGGGGUUAUCUUGCACCCUGUUCAGAUCCUCCAUUUACACCCUAGCUGGGGCUUCCAUUUGUGCCUCACCCAGGACUAGAAAGGGUCUUCUUCAAUGCUAGCAGAGCCAAGUCUUUUCCCACAGAGGGCUUAUUUUGUGAAAGCCCGGGUGGGGCUUGAAUGGGGGCCUUGGCUGGCUGAUGUGCAAAUGCUGUGGUGGGUAGGGCCAGGCAGUAGGGGAAGUUGGCAGCAGUAGGUAGGUGAGUAGCCAAAAAGGAGGUCAUAAGUGCAGGUGGGCACAAGUGGGCCUGCAUUUUGUUCAUAUGACAGUAAAGCAGGGUGGGCUUCAAAAAUUUUAGCAAGGGGUUCUCUGCCCGGUUGCUGGGUGGGCAUGGCCAUGGUGGGCAUGACCUAGUCGGCCUCCUGCACCACGGUGGGGAGGGGGGUGUUUUUGCCCUCCCCGGGCUCCAGAGUCUUUCCUCGAGCCUCCGGGAGAGCGAAAACGGUCUCCCCAGGCUCCGGAGGCUGUCUGGAGGCAGGAAACAGGCCCAUUUCCAGCCUUCCUGAACUUCCGGUAGGCCCGUUUUUCACCCUCCCUGAGUCUCCCCGCGCGCGCCCUGCACUUACCUGCAUCCAAAACAGGCCGGUGAGGGGACUCCUGGGAGGGGUGGGCGGGGAGGGGUGGGGCCAGCCAGGAGUGGAUUUGGGGGUUCUCCGAACUGCACAGAAUCUUAGCUAGAGGUUCUCCUGAACCCCUUCAAAUCCCAAGCAGCCCACCCCUGCAAUAGAGGUGUUGCUGGAACUUCAGGGAUCAGUCAUAAGUCCCUUCAUUCACUGCCUUUGUAACUCCAAAUGGCUGCUGAAUGAGUGAGUGUUAAGUGAGGACCAUCUGUAUAGUAUGGGACUGUCAUUGCAUGUUUUUUUUUUUAAUUGGUUGUAUUGCCAUCUUUUUUUUAACCGGAUGGGUGGCCCCUAUAAAUCUUUGACAUGAAUGAAUAAGUGAAUGGUGCGUACAAGGGCUACUGAGUACCUGUGUUUUAACAUCCUAUUCUAAAAACACAGGAUGUGAAUGUGUCCAUAUACAUUUAGCCUGAAUUGUUAUGUUCAGUGAGUGGGCUUACAUGUACCUGUUGAUAAAAUUACAACUGAAAUAAACAUGAUUUCAUGACAAA